Long non-coding RNA from Bos taurus (domestic cattle), 1165 nucleotides. The record is from Ensembl. Lineage: Eukaryota; Metazoa; Chordata; Mammalia; Artiodactyla; Bovidae.
GGAGGACCCCAUGCCCGAAGGGCGGCGGCCAAGAGGAGUUACCCCACGUCCGAGGUCAGGGGCAACGGCCGAGAGUGCCAGGCUGCGACGGCGCAGGAACAGCCGAGAGGAGCUACCCCGCGUCCGAGGUCGGAGCGGUGACGAGAGGAGUUACCCCGUGUCCGAGGUCAGGGGCGGCGGCCGGGAGGACCAACCCCACGCCUGAGGCCAGGGGUGGCGGCCUCGAGGACCAACCCCACAUCCAAGGAGCCGUGGCUGCGGGAGCAGGAGGGCCUAGAGGAGCUAUCCCACAUUGAAGCAGUUCCCUCGCUGACAAAGACCUGGACGUGACCUCGAAUAUCUGCAGCUUGGAAAAUGUUACACGGAGCCACAGAUGACUUCAGGCAGGAGUUCCAGGGCCUGAUGAACAGCUACCUCUGGACCGUGACUGUCAGUGCCUUUUCCUGAAAGCCUCAUCUGCCCCCAGGACUCUAGCCACUGAAAAGGACCCAAGCUACGAAACUGCCCUCAAUGAAGAAUGAAAACACCAUUUUGGCUUUUCCAAACUAAUGACUGGAAGCUCCCCGAGGACAGAAAGUGUAUACACUUUGAUCUCAUAUCUUCAUCACCUAGCUCAGUGCCUGGCACACAGAAAGCCAUUGAGUAGCCGUUCAAUGAAACAUUCAUCUUUAUCCUUCCACACAAUUUGACUCAAUGCUUUCUAUAUAAUGGAUGCUCAAUACCAAUUUGAUGAAUCAGAUCAAAUUGACACAUUGCUCAAAUUAUCUGAUAGAGAAUGCAGACACAGAGUACCACAAUUAGCCCGCUUAGGGACUAUUAAAAGGUUAUUUGCUGAAAAAUGGAUUUGACUCUGCUGAUCAAUGACAUCUGAUCACUAAGGUGAUCAGAAUAAGCAGACCAUGAUAUGGUUUCUGAAAUCAUCUGAAGAUACUGGUGUUUGAUUUUUACUGUUUUGCAAUUCCACCUAUGCCUAGACAUUGGCCACUAUAGGGAUUGGUAGGAAUAAAAAUGACCAUAAUCCUAAUUAUAAUAACUAUUAAUAGGCAUGUAUGAUGUCCUGUUCAUAUAUGCAUCAACUCAAAUAAUUCUCCCAAUAACCCUGUAAAGUAUAAACUGCUAUUAUUCUACUUUACAGAUAAAAUAAGUGAGACUGAAAAAAGUUCAA